GUACGGCGAGUGAGCGGGAAGAGCACAAAUUUUAAAUCUACCUGGUUCUACCAGGUCGAGUUGUAAUUUGAAGAAACGUUUUUAAUGUUCCGGGUUGGUUUAAAUCCUUUGGGAUAAGGUAUCAUGGAGGGUGAGAAUCCCGUGUAUAUCAACCGCUGGGAUGUUAUUAAUACGUUCUCUAAGAGUCGAGUUGUUUGGGAAUGCAGCUCUAAAUGGGUGGUAAAUUUCACCUAAUGCUAAAUAUAAGCGAGAGACCGAUAGCGAACAAGUACCGUGAGGGAAAGAUGAAAAGAACUUUGAAAAGAGAGUUAAAUAGUACGUGAAAUUGUUGAAAGGGAAACGAUUGAAGUCAGUCAUGCCGGUGAGAAUCAACUUUGGGGAAGGGGGAUUUUUUUGAACCUAACCUUGAAGUGCACUUCUUCGCUUGGCAGGUUAGCGUCGAUUUUGAACGUCAUAAAAUGAUUGGGGGAAGGUAGCUCUUUCGGGAGUGUUAUAGCCCUUAAUUAAUGUGAUAUUUGGGAUCGAGGAUUGCAACGGAUACCUUUUUAGGCUAGCCGCCUGGCCUCUGAUUCGAUGUCGGGUUAUAGACAGCACGCUGACUAUGAUCUGAUUAUUGGUCAAAAGGUUAGAGCGAGCAUAAAUUCGUUAAGGACGCUGACGUAAUGGCUUUAAACGACCC
RNAcentral lists this ribosomal RNA (679 nucleotides) under Glomeromycotina sp. RNAcentral's name for it is "eukaryotic LSU rRNA". It matches the Rfam family "Eukaryotic large subunit ribosomal RNA", at positions 83 to 650 of the family's 3401-position model. Lineage: Eukaryota; Fungi; Glomeromycota. The record is from RNAcentral.